UCUACCAGUUGCCACUUCUGGUCCAUUUGCAUAUAACACUGGAGAAGUGUUCCUUUAUCUUUGUGAAGCCCUUAACAUUCAAGGAGCCACUACUGCUUCUAUGCUGCUGAAAAAUACAAGACACUGCCUCUACCUCUGCAUCUGUCCUUUGCUUUUUGCUUGGAAACUAUCACAUCAAAUCACACUGAGAUCAGUUCCUACUGAGCUCUCACUGGCAAACUAUCAGUAGAAGAAGCCUGGUCAGAAAUCUGAUGUAUGUCUCACUGGACUACAAUCAAGGUGGCUACAGAGCUGCGUUUCUCUCUGGAGCCUCUAGGAGAAAAUCAGUUUCCUUAUCUUUUUCAGCCUCUAGAGGCCACCUGCAUUCCUGGACUUGUGGCCUCUUCCUCCAUCUUAAAGCCAGCAAGAGAGCAUCAUUCUGGGCCAGCUUCUCUCCUCACCGCUUUCACUGACCGCAGUCAAUAAAGGCUCUUUGAUUUUA
Molecule: long non-coding RNA, 481 nt
Filed under: Homo sapiens (human)
Lineage: Eukaryota; Metazoa; Chordata; Mammalia; Primates; Hominidae
Description: HSALNT0393597
Source: RNAcentral